UAUUGUGUCCAAAUCUUCAAUAUUUUGUUGUUGUGUAAGGAAUAUGACAGACUCUAGGCACCACUAGUAGGGCUUUGUUUUUUUGUUUGGUUUUGUAAAGCUUAGUAACAUUUGUUAAUGAAAGCUUGUGAUUUUCUGAAAAAGCAAUAUCAAAACAGCCCAAAAAUGAAAAACAAGUAGAAAAUAUAAUAAACAAACAAUAGAGAUUUAUUUGUUUUAGAAGUUUAUGGCUGCAGAUAUAGCUGCAUGCUUGUUAGCUAAGAGGAAUAAUCAGCCAGAAUGGAGCAAUCAGAUGUGUUUCCUACAGUACUAGAAGAGCACAACAAAGGCAGCAGUGAGGAGACAGAAAGGGGGAACGGGAGGAUGCAGUGCCUUAUCUAGCUGGAGAGGAUCUAUGAAAGCUAGACAAGAAGAGUAGCUUCAUAAAACUACAGUAUACAAACUGAGGAGAACAUAUGAAGCUAAGAGUACCACAGAAUAAUAUUUUAUAGAAGUAGAAGAAGAGAAGGACUUUGGAUAUCACGAAUGUUAUUGCUCAGCGGUUCUUAGGUUGACCAGAGCAGAAAUGCACAUAUUUCAGUUGUGCAGUGCAAAUUGGGGUGUUACAAUUCCAAAAGGUGUCAUAGUUGACUGUAACUAGCCUCAAACCAGGUAGA
Oreochromis niloticus (Nile tilapia) is the source of this 656-nucleotide long non-coding RNA. RefSeq lists it as uncharacterized. The transcript has 3 exons. NCBI's taxonomy places the organism in Eukaryota, Metazoa, Chordata, Actinopteri, Cichliformes, Cichlidae. The record is from RefSeq and is a predicted model, not a curated record.